RNAcentral lists this ribosomal RNA (500 nucleotides) under uncultured bacterium. RNAcentral's name for it is "partial 16S ribosomal RNA". It matches the Rfam family "Bacterial small subunit ribosomal RNA", at positions 30 to 523 of the family's 1533-position model. The record is from RNAcentral.
AUUGAACGCUGGCGGCAUGCCUUACACAUGCAAGUCGAACGGCAGCACGGGAGCAAUCCUGGUGGCGAGUGGCGAACGGGUGAGUAAAGUAUCGGAACGUGCCCAGUCGUGGGGGAUAACGUAGCGAAAGUUACGCUAAUACCGCAUACGAUCUAUGGAUGAAAGCGGGGGAUCGCAAGACCUCGCGCGAUUGGAGCGGCCGAUAUCAGAUUAGGUAGUUGGUGGGGUAAAGGCGCACCAAGCCGACGAUCUGUAGCUGGUCUAAGAGGACGACAAGCAACACUGGGACUGAGAAACGGCCCAGACUCCUACGGGAGGCAGCAGUGGGGAAUUUUGGACAAUGGGCGAAAGCCUGAUCCAGCCAUGCCGCGUGCAGGAUGAAGGCCUUCGGGUUGUAAACUGCUUUUGUACGGAACGAAAAGGUUUGGGCUAAUAAGCUGAGCUCAUGACGGUACCGUAAGAAUAAGCACCGGCUAACUACGUGCCAGCCGCCGCCGUAA